AGUCUCUUCCUGGCUGCCGGCAGAACACAGGCUGCUCCUUGCUGCCCCUGGGUUGUGUUACCUUUGGAUCAAAAUGUAGAACUCUCAGCUCCUCCAGCGCCAUGUCUGUCUGCAGGCUGCCGUGCUUCCUGCCAUGAUGAUAAUGGACUGAACCUCUGAAACUAUGGGACUCUGGACUAAGCAGUCACCUCAGAAAGGGGUGAAAAUCGAGGCAAGUGUCUCCUCUGACUUCAUUCUCCUUCUUCCACCGUGGAUUGAGAUGGAAGUCUGGCUGGCUGCCUUCUACCCUGCAGAGGACCAAUGUGAACUAGCCUAAGAGAGGUCCUGACGUGAGGCCUUCUGCCUGGAGGUGGUUUGGAACCUAGCAGAACUGUCUGUCUGUCUUCUGAGAGGCUUCACCCAGCAACUGAUGGAAAAUGAUGCAGAGAUUCACAGCCAAACAUCAAGUGGAUCUCAGGGAAUCAGGUAGAAGAGGGGAAAGAAGGUUUGGAGGAGCCAGAGAGGUCAGAAGGAUUGGAGGAUCCAGAAGGGUCAAGGACACCACGAGAAAAAUCUAUGGAAUAGACUAACCUGAACCAUAGGAGUUCACAGAGACUGAACUGCCAAGCAAAGAGCAUGUGUAGGAUGGACCUAGGCCCUCUACACAUAUAUGACAGAUGCUCAGCUUGGUCUUCAUGCUGGACUCUUAGCAACUGGAGCAGGGGCUGGCUCGAUCUAUGUUGCCUGCUUUUGGACCUGUUUCCCCUAACUGGGCGGCUGCUUUGUCUAAACUCAUAGGGGAAGAUGUGCUUAAUCCUACUGCAAAUUGAUAUGCCCGGGUGGGUUGAUAUAUCCAUGAGAAGCCCCCCUUUCUCUGAGGAGAAAGGAAGAGGGGACAUAAGGGGGGGGAAGGGGGAGGAGAGGGGUGCUAAGGGGGAGAAGAGAAGAGGGGGAAGCUGUGAUGGAGAUGUAAAUAAAUAAAUCAAAUAUAUAUACAUAUAUAUAUAAUCAAAUAUAUAUACAUAUAUAUGUAUAUAUAUGUGUAUGUAUAUAUAUAUAUCCAUUCAUACAUGUAUGCAACAGCAAUUAGUGAGAAGAGAGGCUAUGGAUUUAAAAACGAGCAAGAAGAAGGGCUAUAUGAGAAGGUUGGGGGAAAGAAAGGGAAGAAUGAAAUUAUGUAAAUAAAAACAAAAAAGUUAUUCUGGGAAAGGACACGGAUGGCUCCUCCUUGGGGCAGGAGGCAGGGACAGAUGGGCUGACAGGAAGCAGAAAGGGCAGAGACUUGAAGCCUGUGCCUAAGUUCUGUUUCCGCCACCCACUUGAGGACACUGUCUGGUCCCACAGAGCACCCUUUUCCUCUUCUUUUUUUAAAAAAGAUGUAUUUUACUUUAAAUUA
RNAcentral lists this long non-coding RNA (1375 nucleotides) under Mus musculus (house mouse). RNAcentral's name for it is "predicted gene, 57128". The record is from RNAcentral. Lineage: Eukaryota; Metazoa; Chordata; Mammalia; Rodentia; Muridae.